This 2933-nucleotide ribosomal RNA is filed under the name Escherichia coli. Its description in RNAcentral is "23S ribosomal RNA". It matches the Rfam family "Bacterial large subunit ribosomal RNA". Lineage: Bacteria; Pseudomonadati; Pseudomonadota; Gammaproteobacteria; Enterobacterales; Enterobacteriaceae. The record is from RNAcentral.
GGGUUGUGAGGUUAAGCGACUAAGCGUACACGGUGGAUGCCCUGGCAGUCAGAGGCGAUGAAGGACGUGCUAAUCUGCGAUAAGCGUCGGUAAGGUGAUAUGAACCGUUAUAACCGGCGAUUUCCGAAUGGGGAAACCCAGUGUGUUUCGACACACUAUCAUUAACUGAAUCCAUAGGUUAAUGAGGCGAACCGGGGGAACUGAAACAUCUAAGUACCCCGAGGAAAAGAAAUCAACCGAGAUUCCCCCAGUAGCGGCGAGCGAACGGGGAGGAGCCCAGAGCCUGAAUCAGUGUGUGUGUUAGUGGAAGCGUCUGGAAAGGCGCGCGAUACAGGGUGACAGCCCCGUACACAAAAAUGCACAUGCUGUGAGCUCGAUGAGUAGGGCGGGACACGUGGUAUCCUGUCUGAAUAUGGGGGGACCAUCCUCCAAGGCUAAAUACUCCUGACUGACCGAUAGUGAACCAGUACCGUGAGGGAAAGGCGAAAAGAACCCCGGCGAGGGGAGUGAAAAAGAACCUGAAACCGUGUACGUACAAGCAGUGGGAGCACAGAGCAAUCUGUGUGACUGCGUACCUUUUGUAUAAUGGGUCAGCGACUUAUAUUCUGUAGCAAGGUUAACCGAAUAGGGGAGCCGAAGGGAAACCGAGUCUUAACUGGGCGUUAAGUUGCAGGGUAUAGACCCGAAACCCGGUGAUCUAGCCAUGGGCAGGUUGAAGGUUGGGUAACACUAACUGGAGGACCGAACCGACUAAUGUUGAAAAAUUAGCGGAUGACUUGUGGCUGGGGGUGAAAGGCCAAUCAAACCGGGAGAUAGCUGGUUCUCCCCGAAAGCUAUUUAGGUAGCGCCUCGUGAAUUCAUCUCCGGGGGUAGAGCACUGUUUCGGCAAGGGGGUCAUCCCGACUUACCAACCCGAUGCAAACUGCGAAUACCGGAGAAUGUUAUCACGGGAGACACACGGCGGGUGCUAACGUCCGUCGUGAAGAGGGAAACAACCCAGACCGCCAGCUAAGGUCCCAAAGUCAUGGUUAAGUGGGAAACGAUGUGGGAAGGCCCAGACAGCCAGGAUGUUGGCUUAGAAGCAGCCAUCAUUUAAAGAAAGCGUAAUAGCUCACUGGUCGAGUCGGCCUGCGCGGAAGAUGUAACGGGGCUAAACCAUGCACCGAAGCUGCGGCAGCGACGCUUAUGCGUUGUUGGGUAGGGGAGCGUUCUGUAAGCCUGUGAAGGUGUACUGUGAGGUAUGCUGGAGGUAUCAGAAGUGCGAAUGCUGACAUAAGUAACGAUAAAGCGGGUGAAAAGCCCGCUCGCCGGAAGACCAAGGGUUCCUGUCCAACGUUAAUCGGGGCAGGGUGAGUCGACCCCUAAGGCGAGGCCGAAAGGCGUAGUCGAUGGGAAACAGGUUAAUAUUCCUGUACUUGGUGUUACUGCGAAGGGGGGACGGAGAAGGCUAUGUUGGCCGGGCGACGGUUGUCCCGGUUUAAGCGUGUAGGCUGGUUUUCCAGGCAAAUCCGGAAAAUCAAGGCUGAGGCGUGAUGACGAGGCACUACGGUGCUGAAGCAACAAAUGCCCUGCUUCCAGGAAAAGCCUCUAAGCAUCAGGUAACAUCAAAUCGUACCCCAAACCGACACAGGUGGUCAGGUAGAGAAUACCAAGGCGCUUGAGAGAACUCGGGUGAAGGAACUAGGCAAAAUGGUGCCGUAACUUCGGGAGAAGGCACGCUGAUAUGUAGGUGAAGUCCCUCGCGGAUGGAGCUGAAAUCAGUCGAAGAUACCAGCUGGCUGCAACUGUUUAUUAAAAACACAGCACUGUGCAAACACGAAAGUGGACGUAUACGGUGUGACGCCUGCCCGGUGCCGGAAGGUUAAUUGAUGGGGUUAGCGCAAGCGAAGCUCUUGAUCGAAGCCCCGGUAAACGGCGGCCGUAACUAUAACGGUCCUAAGGUAGCGAAAUUCCUUGUCGGGUAAGUUCCGACCUGCACGAAUGGCGUAAUGAUGGCCAGGCUGUCUCCACCCGAGACUCAGUGAAAUUGAACUCGCUGUGAAGAUGCAGUGUACCCGCGGCAAGACGGAAAGACCCCGUGAACCUUUACUAUAGCUUGACACUGAACAUUGAGCCUUGAUGUGUAGGAUAGGUGGGAGGCUUUGAAGUGUGGACGCCAGUCUGCAUGGAGCCGACCUUGAAAUACCACCCUUUAAUGUUUGAUGUUCUAACGUUGACCCGUAAUCCGGGUUGCGGACAGUGUCUGGUGGGUAGUUUGACUGGGGCGGUCUCCUCCUAAAGAGUAACGGAGGAGCACGAAGGUUGGCUAAUCCUGGUCGGACAUCAGGAGGUUAGUGCAAUGGCAUAAGCCAGCUUGACUGCGAGCGUGACGGCGCGAGCAGGUGCGAAAGCAGGUCAUAGUGAUCCGGUGGUUCUGAAUGGAAGGGCCAUCGCUCAACGGAUAAAAGGUACUCCGGGGAUAACAGGCUGAUACCGCCCAAGAGUUCAUAUCGACGGCGGUGUUUGGCACCUCGAUGUCGGCUCAUCACAUCCUGGGGCUGAAGUAGGUCCCAAGGGUAUGGCUGUUCGCCAUUUAAAGUGGUACGCGAGCUGGGUUUAGAACGUCGUGAGACAGUUCGGUCCCUAUCUGCCGUGGGCGCUGGAGAACUGAGGGGGGCUGCUCCUAGUACGAGAGGACCGGAGUGGACGCAUCACUGGUGUUCGGGUUGUCAUGCCAAUGGCACUGCCCGGUAGCUAAAUGCGGAAGAGAUAAGUGCUGAAAGCAUCUAAGCACGAAACUUGCCCCGAGAUGAGUUCUCCCUGACUCCUUGAGAGUCCUGAAGGAACGUUGAAGACGACGACGUUGAUAGGCCGGGUGUGUAAGCGCAGCGAUGCGUUGAGCUAACCGGUACUAAUGAACCGUGAGGCUUAACCUUACAACGCCGAAGGUGUUU